Molecule: ribosomal RNA, 253 nt
Filed under: uncultured bacterium
Lineage: Bacteria
Description: partial 16S ribosomal RNA
Rfam family: Bacterial small subunit ribosomal RNA
Source: RNAcentral
UACGGAGGGUGCAAACGUUGCUCGGAAUUAUUGGGCGUAAAGCGCACGUAGGUGGCUCGUUAAGUCGGAUGUGAAAGCCCUCGGCUCAACUGAGGAAGUGCAUUCGAAACUGGCGAGCUUGAGUACUGAAGAGGGUCGCGGAAUUCCCGGUGUAGAGGUGAAAUUCGUAGAUAUCGGGAGGAACACCGGUGGCGAAGGCGGCGAUCUGGGUCGAUACUGACGCUGAGGUGCGAAAGCGUGGGGAGCAAACAGG